AAAAGAAGAUCAAGAAGAGCUUCAGAAUGAAGCUUUCUUGAUGGAGGGGAGCGGCAGACGGGUGAGUAAAACGUGGGAACAUACCCAUCUCUGCGGAACACCUCCGGGAAACUGGAGCUAAUACCGCAUACGCCCUUCGGGGGCAAGAUUUAUCGGAGAUGGAUUGGCCCGCGUUGGAUUAGCUAGUUGGUGGGGUAAAGGCCUACCAAGGCGACGAUCCAUAGCUGGUCUGAGAGGAUGAUCAGCCACAUUGGGACUGAGACACGGCCCAAACUCCUACGGGAGGCAGCAGUGGGGAAUAUUGGACAAUGGGCGCAAGCCUGAUCCAGCCAUGCCGCGUGAGUGAUGAAGGCCUUAGGGUUGUAAAGCUCUUUCACCGAUGAAGAUAAUGACGGUAGUCGGAGAAGAAGCCCCGGCUAACUUCGUGCCAGCAGCCGCUGUAA
This 443-nucleotide ribosomal RNA is filed under the name uncultured bacterium. RNAcentral describes it as "partial 16S ribosomal RNA". It matches the Rfam family "Bacterial small subunit ribosomal RNA", at positions 48 to 523 of the family's 1533-position model. The record is from RNAcentral.